UCCUUCCCUUUUCCCCCACCACACCCCCACCUUCUUUUCCCCAGCUUGCCGCCGCUGUCCCCCAUCCACCCAAUAAACCACGAACAGUCGUUCAUAUUUUGGUCUCGGCUCUGCGUUUAUUGUUGGAAUCUGCGGGCGGAGGUCGCGGGUCGGGUUACCGGGGGAGGGGGAAGGGGGGAGGGGAGAAGCG
Molecule: unclassified non-coding RNA, 190 nt
Filed under: Macacine alphaherpesvirus 1
Lineage: Duplodnaviria; Heunggongvirae; Peploviricota; Herviviricetes; Herpesvirales; Orthoherpesviridae
Source: RNAcentral